This 23-nucleotide non-coding RNA is filed under the name Arabidopsis thaliana (thale cress). The record is from RNAcentral. Lineage: Eukaryota; Viridiplantae; Streptophyta; Magnoliopsida; Brassicales; Brassicaceae.
CGCACCCAAGUGCAGAGCACUUA